AGAGUUUGAUCAUGGCUCAGAUUGAACGCUGGCGGCAGGCCUAACACAUGCAAGUCGAACGGUAACAGGAUAGCUUGCUAUCGCUGACGAGUGGCGGACGGGUGAGUAAUACUUAGGGAUCUGCCUCUGUGUGGGGGAUAACUAUUGGAAACGAUAGCUAAUACCGCAUAAUGUCUACGGACCAAAGCGGGCUUCGGCUCGUGCGCAGAGAGGAACCUAAGCGAGAUUAGCUAGUUGGUGAGGUAAAGGCUCACCAAGGCGACGAUCUCUAGCUGUUCUGAGAGGAAGAUCAGCCACACUGGAACUGAGACACGGUCCAGACUCCUACGGGAGGCAGCAGUGGGGAAUAUUGCACAAUGGGGGAAACCCUGAUGCAGCCAUGCCGCGUGUGUGAAGAAGGCCUUCGGGUUGUAAAGCACUUUCAGUUGUGAGGAAAGUUUAGUAGUUAAUACCUGCUAGAUGUGACGUUAGCAACAGAAGAAGCACCGGCUAACUCCGUGCCAGCAGCCGCGGUAAUACGGAGGGUGCAAGCGUUACUCGGAAUCACUGGGCGUAAAGAGCGUGUAGGCGGAUAGUUAAGUUUGAAGUGAAAUCCUAUGGCUCAACCAUAGAACUGCUUUGAAAACUGAUUAUCUAGAAUAUGGGAGAGGUAGAUGGAAUUUCUGGUGUAGGGGUAAAAUCCGUAGAGAUCAGAAGGAAUACCGAUUGCGAAGGCGAUCUACUGGAACAUUAUUGACGCUGAGACGCGAAAGCGUGGGGAGCAAACAGGAUUAGAUACCCUGGUAGUCCACGCCCUAAACGAUGUACACUAGUUGUUGUGAGGCUAGACCUUGCAGUAAUGCAGUUAACACAUUAAGUGUACCGCCUGGGGAGUACGGUCGCAAGAUUAAAACUCAAAGGAAUAGACGGGGACCCGCACAAGCGGUGGAGCAUGUGGUUUAAUUCGACGAUACGCGAAGAACCUUACCUGGACUUGACAUAGUAAGAACUUUCUAGAGAUAGAUUGGUGUCUGCUUGCAGAAACUUAUAUACAGGUGCUGCACGGCUGUCGUCAGCUCGUGUCGUGAGAUGUUGGGUUAAGUCCCGCAACGAGCGCAACCCUCGUCGUUAGUUGCUAACAGUUCGGCUGAGAACUCUAACGAGACUGCCUACGCAAGUAGGAGGAAGGUGAGGACGACGUCAAGUCAUCAUGGCCCUUACGUCCAGGGCUACACACGUGCUACAAUGGGGUAUACAAAGAGCAGCGAUACGGCGACGUGGAGCAAAUCUCUUAAAAUAUCUCCCAGUUCGGAUAGUAGUCUGCAACUCGACUACUUGAAGUUGGAAUCGCUAGUAAUCGUAGAUCAGCAAUGCUACGGUGAAUACGUUCCCGGGUCUUGUACUCACCGCCCGUCACACCAUGGGAGUUGAACUCAUUCGAAGCGGGGAUGCUAAAGUAGCUACCUUCCACAGUGGAUUCAGCGACUGGGGUGAAGUCGUAACAAGGUAACCGUAGGAGAACCUGCGGCUGGAUCACCUCCUUAAGCUUGGAAU
RNAcentral lists this ribosomal RNA (1533 nucleotides) under uncultured Arcobacter sp. RNAcentral describes it as "partial 16S ribosomal RNA gene". It matches the Rfam family "Bacterial small subunit ribosomal RNA". The record is from RNAcentral. Lineage: Bacteria; Pseudomonadati; Campylobacterota; Epsilonproteobacteria; Campylobacterales; Arcobacteraceae.